CAUUAAAUGACUGAAAAAGUAUUGAUCUCUUAAAUCAAAUUAUAGUAGCUUGUACUACUUUUAAUGA
Molecule: transfer RNA, 67 nt
Filed under: Prionoglaris stygia
Lineage: Eukaryota; Metazoa; Arthropoda; Insecta; Psocodea; Prionoglarididae
Description: tRNA-Lys
Source: RNAcentral